UAAUAUUUUUCAAGAAGGUGA
Non-coding RNA from Caenorhabditis elegans, 21 nucleotides. The record is from Ensembl. NCBI's taxonomy places the organism in Eukaryota, Metazoa, Nematoda, Chromadorea, Rhabditida, Rhabditidae.